This 450-nucleotide ribosomal RNA is filed under the name uncultured Glomus. Its description in RNAcentral is "SSU rRNA". It matches the Rfam family "Eukaryotic small subunit ribosomal RNA", at positions 569 to 1024 of the family's 1831-position model. The record is from RNAcentral. Lineage: Eukaryota; Fungi; Glomeromycota; Glomeromycetes; Glomerales; Glomeraceae.
AGCAGCCGCGGUAAUUCCAGCUCCAAUAGCGUAUAUUAAAGUUGUUGCAGUUAAAAAGCUCGUAGUUGAAUUUCGGGGUCAAUACGUCGGUCGUGCCUCGGUACGCACUAACGUUAUUGAUCCCUCCCUUCUGACGAACCGUGAUGUCAUUAAUUUGGUGUUGCGGGGAAUCAGGACUGUUACCUUGAAAAAAUUAGAGUGUUUAAAGCAGGCAAUCGCUCGAAUACAUUAGCAUGGAAUAAUGAAAUAGGACGUUCGAACCUAUUUUGUUGGUUUCUAGGAUCGACGUAAUGAUUAAUAGGGAUAGUUGGGGGCAUUAGUAUUCAAUUGUCAGAGGUGAAAUUCUUGGAUUUAUUGAAGACUAACUACUGCGAAAGCAUUUGCCAAGGAUGUUUUCAUUAAUCAAGAACGAAAGUUAGGGGAUCGAAGACGAUCAGAUACCGUCGUAGU